UGGGGAAUAUUGCGCAAUGGGCGAAAGCCUGACGCAGCGACGCCGCGUGAGGGAUGAAGGUUUUCGGAUCGUAAACCUCUGUCAGAAGGGAAGAAACCGCACUGUGCUAAUCAGCAGUGCCUUGACGGUACCUUCAAAGGAAGCACCGGCUAACUCCGUGCCAGCAGCCGCGGUAAUACGGAGGGUGCAAGCGUUAAUCGGAAUUACUGGGCGUAAAGCGCACGUAGGCUGCUUUGUAAGUCAGGGGUGAAAUCCCACGGCUCAACCGUGGAACUGCCUUUGAUACUGCUUAGCUUGAAUCCGGGAGAGGGUGGCGGAAUUCCAGGUGUAGGAGUGAAAUCCGUAGAUAUCUGGAGGAACAUCAGUGGCGAAGGCGGCCACCUGGACCGGUAUUGACGCAGAGGUGCGAAAGCGUGGGGAGCAAACAGG
RNAcentral lists this ribosomal RNA (429 nucleotides) under Fusobacteriota bacterium. RNAcentral's name for it is "Fusobacteria bacterium partial 16S ribosomal RNA". It matches the Rfam family "Bacterial small subunit ribosomal RNA", at positions 355 to 776 of the family's 1533-position model. The record is from RNAcentral. Lineage: Bacteria; Fusobacteriati; Fusobacteriota.